GGAAUAGCUUUGAUCAAACAGAAAUAGCAUUAUUUAGUGAAUAAAGUAGAUUCAGCCUAAAAUCGUUCUUAGCUCUUCUGGUGGUUCUCAAUAUUCAACUUGAAGUCUAUAAACCAAAGAUGUCCCCUUGUCCUUUCAAAGCUGUCAGGAAAGACAGCCAAGAUGCUUGAAGAACACAUGCAAAAAGAGGGGCCCAGUUCUGAAGAAUACUGAGAACAUUUAGGUGUCUUCAUUAAAAAACACAAAGGGCAGCAUAACCCUUACACAUGAGCAAGUACAGGGGAGAGACAAGGCUGUGGUAGAGAAGAAAGUCCAAAUUGCUGCAUGAUAUGGAUUUCCCUUGUC
RNAcentral lists this long non-coding RNA (345 nucleotides) under Cyanistes caeruleus (blue tit). RNAcentral describes it as "lncRNA (ENSCCEG00000013939.1)". Lineage: Eukaryota; Metazoa; Chordata; Aves; Passeriformes; Paridae. The record is from RNAcentral.